This 246-nucleotide long non-coding RNA is filed under the name Elaeis guineensis (African oil palm). RNAcentral describes it as "long non-coding RNA (EGUI_LNC007373)". The record is from RNAcentral. Lineage: Eukaryota; Viridiplantae; Streptophyta; Magnoliopsida; Arecales; Arecaceae.
UCUUCGCACUUAAAUGAUAAAACUCGCACAACCCUAAUCAUUCUCUAAAGUGCCAUCAAAAAAUUGAUCUUCACCUGUCCAAGGGGAGUAGAAGUCCAUCUAACUGGUUUUUGUUUGAUUAUUAAAAACAUAAGCCAUUUAGAAUGGCAUAAGAUAUUUUGUUAAUUUUCUAGUGGAAAAAAAUGCAAUAAGCUGUCAUUUUUAAAUGACAAAAUUGCUCUUAAAUGUUGUACAAAUUUAGGGCUA